AGAACGAACGCUGGCGGCGUGCCUAACACAUGCAAGUCCAACGUGAAAGGGGAGCAAUCCCCCGGUAGGGUGGCAAACGGGUGAGUAAUACAUGGGUGAUCUACCUUAGGGAUGGGGAUAUCCUUCCGAAAGGAGGGGCAAUACCGAAUAUUGUCCGGAGCCGUGAAGGGUUCCGGGGAAAGGGAGGCCUCUGAUACAAGCUUUCGCCUUAAGAUGAGCCCAUGGCCCAUCAGCUAGUUGGUAGGGUAAAGGCCUACCAAGGCUACGACGGGUCGCUGGUCUGAGAGGACGACCAGCCACACUGGCACUGAGAUACGGGCCAGACUCCUACGGGAGGCAGCAGUGAGGAAUAUUGCGCAAUGGGGGAACCCUGACGCAGCAACGCCGCGUGUGGGAAGAAGGCCUUCGGGUCGUAAACCACUUUUGCACGGGACGAAAAAGGGAUAUCGAACAAAUAUCCCCGAUGACGGUACCGUGAGAAUAAGCCACGGCUAACUCUGUGCCAGCAGCCGCGGUAAGACAGAGGUGGCAAGCGUUGUUCGGAAUUACUGGGCGUAAAGAGUCUGUAGGUGGUUUGUCAAGUCUUUGGUGAAAGGCCGUAGCUUAACUAUGGGAAUGCCAAAGAGACUGGCAGGCUGGAGGCUGGGAGAGGGAAGCGGAAUUUCUGGUGU
RNAcentral lists this ribosomal RNA (671 nucleotides) under uncultured bacterium. RNAcentral describes it as "bacterial SSU rRNA". It matches the Rfam family "Bacterial small subunit ribosomal RNA", at positions 26 to 676 of the family's 1533-position model. The record is from RNAcentral.